CAAUGGGCGAAAGCCUGAUCCAGCCAUGCCGCGUGUGUGAAGAAGGCCUUUUGGUUGUAAAGCACUUUAAGCGAGGAGGAGGCUACUUAGAUUAAUACUCUAGGAUAGUGGACGUUACUCGCAGAAUAAGCACCGGCUAACUCUGUGCCAGCAGCCGCGGUAAUACAGAGGGUGCGAGCGUUAAUCGGAUUUACUGGGCGUAAAGCGUGCGUAGGCGGCUUCUUAAGUCGGAUGUGAAAUCCCUGAGCUUAACUUAGGAAUUGCAUUCGAUACUGGGAAGCUAGAGUAUGGGAGAGGAUGGUAGAAUUCCAGGUGUAGCGGUGAAAUGCGUAGAGAUCUGGAGGAAUACCGAUGGCGAAGGCAGCCAUCUGGCCUAAUACUGACGCUGAGGUACGAAAGCAUGGGGAGCAAACAGGAUUAGAUACCCUGGUAGUCCAUGCCGUAAACGAUGUCUACUAGCCGUUGGGGCCUUUGAGGCUUUAGUGGCGCAGCUAACGCGAUAAGUAGACCGCCUGGGGAGUACGGUCGCAAGACUAAAACUCAAGGGAAUUGACGG
RNAcentral lists this ribosomal RNA (556 nucleotides) under uncultured bacterium. RNAcentral's name for it is "bacterial SSU rRNA". It matches the Rfam family "Bacterial small subunit ribosomal RNA", at positions 369 to 916 of the family's 1533-position model. The record is from RNAcentral.